AACCUUGAAAGAUUUUAAUGGUAAAAAGUAAAAACCCAGAUUCAACAAUAUCCUCAAACCUGUGAAGUGAUCAAAGAUGAUCUGAUGCCAGAAGAAGAGAAUCUAUAGCUUCAACUUAUAGCCAUUCUUCGUAAUGUGGCAAAUAAACUCCACCACGAAUCAAUUUUAGAGCAAAGGAGGAUCAUCGUCGGGAAAAAUUCGAAAUUGACCG
Molecule: long non-coding RNA, 211 nt
Filed under: Brassica napus (rape)
Lineage: Eukaryota; Viridiplantae; Streptophyta; Magnoliopsida; Brassicales; Brassicaceae
Description: long non-coding RNA (BNAP_LNC014252)
Source: RNAcentral